This 496-nucleotide ribosomal RNA is filed under the name uncultured Glomeromycotina. RNAcentral describes it as "partial small subunit ribosomal RNA". It matches the Rfam family "Eukaryotic small subunit ribosomal RNA", at positions 591 to 1092 of the family's 1831-position model. Lineage: Eukaryota; Fungi; Glomeromycota. The record is from RNAcentral.
CCAAUAGCGUAUAUUAAAGUUGUUGCAGUUAAAAAGCUCGUAGUUGAAUUUCGGGGUUCUACCGUUGGUCGGGCUUUGUCUGUACUGGCGUGUAGAAUUUCUACCUUCUGGGGAACCAUUAUGUUAUUAAUUUAACGUGGUGGGAAACCAGGACCUUUACCUUGAAAAAAUUAGAGUGUUCAAAGCAGGCUUUAUGUCUGAAUACAUUAGCAUGGAAUAAUAAAAUAGGACGGUGGUCCUGUUUUGUUGGUUUCUGAAUCACCGUAAUGAUUAAUAGGGAUAGUUGGGGGCAUUAGUAUUCAAUUGUCAGAGGUGAAAUUCUUGGAUUUAUUGAAGACUAACUUCUGCGAAAGCAUUUGCCAAGGAUGUUUUCAUUAAUCAAGAACGAAAGUUAGGGGAUCGAAGACGAUCAGAUACCGUCGUAGUCUUAACCAUAAACUAUGCCGACUAGGGAUCGGACGAUGUUAAUUUUUCUUGACUCGUUCGGCGCCUUACG